GACGAACGCUGGCGGCGUGCCUAACACAUGCAAGUCGAACGGAGUUAAGACUUCGGUUUUAACUUAGUGGCGAACGGGUGAGUAACGCGUGAGAAACCUGCCUUUCAGUGGGGGACAACAGUUGGAAACGACUGCUAAUACCGCAUAAUGUUAUUUGAGGGCAUCCCUGGGUAACCAAAGAUUUAUUGCUGAAAGAUGGUCUCGCGUCUGAUUAGCUAGUUGGUGAGGUAAUGGCUCACCAAGGCGACGAUCAGUAGCCGGUCUGAGAGGCUGACCCCCCACACUGGGACUGAGACACGGCCCAG
Molecule: ribosomal RNA, 305 nt
Filed under: uncultured bacterium
Lineage: Bacteria
Description: bacterial SSU rRNA
Rfam family: Bacterial small subunit ribosomal RNA
Source: RNAcentral